This 23-nucleotide small nuclear RNA is filed under the name Arabidopsis thaliana (thale cress). Its description in RNAcentral is "snRNA_10829". Lineage: Eukaryota; Viridiplantae; Streptophyta; Magnoliopsida; Brassicales; Brassicaceae. The record is from RNAcentral.
UUUUAGUAAUUAAUCGUGUAGUU